GGAGGGGGCCAGCGUUUGUUCGGAAUUAUUGGGCGUAAAGGGCGCGUAGGCGGCCCGGCAAGUCAGUUGUGAAAUCCCUCGGCUCAACCGAGGAACUGCGACUGAAACUGCCGGGCUUGAGUCCCGGAGAGGGUAGCGGAAUUCCCAGUGUAGCGGUGAAAUGCGUAGAUAUUGGGAGGAACACCGGUGGCGAAGGCGGCUACCUGGACGGGUACUGACGCUGAGGCGCGAAAGCGUGGGGAGCAAACAGGAUUAGAUACCCUGGUAGUCCACGCUGUAAACGAUGGGCACUUGGUGUUGCGGGUAUCGACCCCCUGCAGUGCCGAAGCUAACCGCAUUAAGUGCCCCGCCUGGGGAGUACGGUCGCAAGGCUG
Molecule: ribosomal RNA, 374 nt
Filed under: uncultured organism
Description: partial 16S ribosomal RNA
Rfam family: Bacterial small subunit ribosomal RNA
Source: RNAcentral